GAUCCUGGCUCAGGAUGAACGCUAGCGACAGGCCUAACACAUGCAAGUCGAGGGGCAGCGAAGAGGUAGCAAUACCUUUGCCGGCGACCGGCGCACGGGUGAGUAACACGUAUGCAAUCCACCUGUAACAGGGGGGAUAACCCGGAGAAAUCCGGACUAAUACCCCCAUAAUAUGGGCGCCCCGCAUGGAGAGCCCAUUAAAGAGAGCAAUUUUGGUUACAGACGAGCAUGCGCUCCAUUAG
RNAcentral lists this ribosomal RNA (242 nucleotides) under uncultured bacterium. RNAcentral's name for it is "partial 16S ribosomal RNA". It matches the Rfam family "Bacterial small subunit ribosomal RNA", at positions 15 to 244 of the family's 1533-position model. The record is from RNAcentral.